Molecule: ribosomal RNA, 301 nt
Filed under: uncultured bacterium
Lineage: Bacteria
Description: partial 16S ribosomal RNA
Rfam family: Bacterial small subunit ribosomal RNA
Source: RNAcentral
CAGUCGCCGCGGUAAUACGUAGGGCGCAAGCGUUAUCCGGAAUUAUUGGGCGUAAAGAGCUCGUAGGCGGUUUGUCGCGUCUGCCGUGAAAGUCCGGGGCUCAACCCCGGAUCUGCGGUGGGUACGGGCAGACUAGAGUGAUGUAGGGGAGACUGGAAUUCCUGGUGUAGCGGUGAAGUGCGCAGAUAUCAGGAGGAACACCGAUGGCGAAGGCAGGUCUCUGGGCAUUAACUGACGCUGAGGAGCGAAAGCAUGGGGAGCGAACAGGAUUAGAGACCCCCGUAGUCCCUGUCUCUUAUAC